RNAcentral lists this transfer RNA (88 nucleotides) under Luminiphilus sp. RNAcentral describes it as "tRNA-Ser". It matches the Rfam family "tRNA". From Rfam's summary of the family: Transfer RNA (tRNA) molecules are approximately 80 nucleotides in length. Their secondary structure includes four short double-helical elements and three loops (D, anti-codon, and T loops). Further hydrogen bonds mediate the characteristic L-shaped molecular structure. tRNAs have two regions of fundamental functional importance: the anti-codon, which is responsible for specific mRNA codon recognition, and the 3' end, to which the tRNAs corresponding amino acid is attached (by aminoacyl-tRNA synthetases). tRNAs cope with the degeneracy of the genetic code in two manners: having more than one tRNA (with a specific anti-codon) for a particular amino acid; and 'wobble' base-pairing, i.e. permitting non-standard base-pairing at the 3rd anti-codon position. Lineage: Bacteria; Pseudomonadati; Pseudomonadota; Gammaproteobacteria; Cellvibrionales; Halieaceae. The record is from RNAcentral.
GGAGAGGUGGCCGAGCGGUCGAAGGCGCACGCCUGGAAAGUGUGUAUACGGCAACGUAUCGAGGGUUCGAAUCCCUCCCCCUCCGCCA